CAGGGCGGUGCGGGGGCCUGGGUUCCGGAGGAGGAGGGACACGCAUCCCCCACCGGGAAUGAUGGCCCCGCUCGCCCAGAGGGCCGCCCUCCACCCUCUGCGGGCUGGCUGGCUGCUGUCGCGUCCCAAUAAAUUAAAUCUGCUCCAUCGUCACUGUUCUGUGCCCGAGACGAGCACUUCCAAGGCAGAUUAGAAAGGAACUUAAGGGGAUUAAAAGCUUCUCUUAGUGAAAAACAAUGUUUCCGAUGGGAAAUCCAUUUCCCAAUAUGAAUUUCAGCAGAAAUGCAUGAUUUCCGUGCGGGCGCCGCUGCCGCUCAGGGAAAGGGGGACGUCCCCCCACACCUCCCGCCCUCCGCUUUGCAUAAGUGAGAACGAGGAUUCUCUCCCCGAGAUUGAUGGCUUCCAUAAAGUCCUGCGAAAAUGUUUCUCCUUUGUUCGCCAGGGAAAGGGAAAGUGUCUAAUGGGUUUGGAGUAUUAAACGAGUGUCGGUUUGUAUUGGAAACCGGGGGCGUCCAGGAGUGAAUACCAGACACCCAAGGAAAUGGAUUGGCUGGAGGUGGAACAAGGAGCUGGGCAGAGAGCUGCUGUCUGCACCCGUGAUCUGGGGGAGCCUGGGAAGAGAAAGGCACACAGAGCUGCCUGUGGGUUCCACCGACCGUGAGGCUGAACCGGAGUCUUCCCAAUCACCCAGGCCUCAGCCGCCAUCUCCCAUGCCGGCGUCUUGAGGAGGGGCGCCCCGGCUCUCAUGCCCCAAGCCAGGAUGUUCCUGUGCGAAGCUCCUGGCCCCCCCC
Molecule: long non-coding RNA, 791 nt
Organism: Myotis myotis
Lineage: Eukaryota; Metazoa; Chordata; Mammalia; Chiroptera; Vespertilionidae
Exons: 3
Source: RefSeq, a predicted model, not a curated record